Macrobrachium nipponense is the source of this 994-nucleotide long non-coding RNA. RefSeq lists it as uncharacterized. The record is from RefSeq and is a predicted model, not a curated record. Lineage: Eukaryota; Metazoa; Arthropoda; Malacostraca; Decapoda; Palaemonidae. The transcript has 3 exons.
AUUUGUAUUGGGUUCUUUGGCGGUGCCGUACGGGGUGAACGGUGGUCGCAUUGCGAAUGGACUUUUCCAGCAAGAAGGCGUGCUUCGUCGAGAUGUGUAUUGGGCCAGGGUGUUAAGUAAGCGUACCACAAAGAGUUAUGGAUUAGUUUUAAUGCAGAUACCUUACGGCUAAGCAGGAUUAGUAAGCUCUCGGUGUAGCUGCAGCAGACCCUAAGGACGACACUAAUAGUGGAAAGCAACGCCUUAUGUUAAGAGUGAAUUUAGUUACCCAGACAACUAGUACUAAACUUUUUGACUCCGACGCUGUGCAUAUCCUAUCAGGAUUCGAAGAGCUAAAUUCGGUUACCCAGACAGCUAGGACUUAAUUGUAGACGCUAUUCACAACCUAAUAGUCAUAAGUUUAAUCUGACUACUAAUGCAAUGUAAUAGUAUUUAAGGGUAUGAAAACUAACUUAAUUCAUAUAAUCUGUAAACCUUUGUAGGUUUCUUUAACCCAAAAUGUCAUAUGAUGGGGGUAGACUUUGUCAUGUGAAAUCGAUGGAAUGGUGUUACUGGUUGAGUAACAGAAGCAAGAUUGGGAAAUUCAUAUAAGAAAUUAGUAACUGACAUAAAGGUUUGAGGUGUCAGGUUCUGGUUUAAUGGCCAUAUUUCCUAUGCAAUCAAAGGAAUGGAAGUUACUCUGGUUAACAGAAGAUGAGGGUAAUUUUAUAAAAGUAACUAAAAGGAAUUUCUUAUUCUUAAGGAGUUUUCGGAUAGUAUCGUAUUUUGGCUUUUCUUGCAAUAGUUUAUGCAGGCUAGUUUAUGCAGGUCUAGUUUAUGCAGGUCUAACUUCUUAUUCAACUAAGUGAUAAGAUUGUAUUUUGACCCCUCCUGAUGACUGGAAUCUGUUUAAAACUUAUGGUCUGGAAAUUGCAUUGGGCUGAAACACAAAGGUGACUGUGAUAAUGGUUGGAAGUGAAAAUUCAUUUUUACAUUAAAGAAAAUGAGGAUAAUA